This 463-nucleotide ribosomal RNA is filed under the name uncultured bacterium. RNAcentral describes it as "partial 16S ribosomal RNA". It matches the Rfam family "Bacterial small subunit ribosomal RNA", at positions 28 to 506 of the family's 1533-position model. The record is from RNAcentral.
GACGAACGCUGGCGGCGUGCUUAACACAUGCAAGUCGAACGGUAAGGCCCUUUCGGGGGUACACGAGUGGCGAACGGGUGAGUAACACGUGGGCGAUCUGCCCUGCACUUUGGGAUAAGCCUGGGAAACUGGGUCUAAUACCGGAUAGGACUACGCGAUGCAUGUCGUGUGGUGGAAAGCUUUUGCGGUGUGGGAUGGGCCCGCGGCCUAUCAGCUUGUUGGUGGGGUGAUGGCCUACCAAGGCGACGACGGGUAGCCGGCCUGGGAGGGUGUCCGGCCACACUGGGACUGAGCUACGGCCCGGACUCCUGCGGGAGGCAGCAGUGGGGAAUCUUGCACACUGGGCGCAAGCCUGAUGCAGCGACGCCGGGUGGGGGAUGACGGCCUUCGGGUUGUAAACCCCUUUCAGCACAGACGAAGCGUAAGGGACGGAAUGUGCAGAAGACGCACGGGCCAACUACGU